Molecule: non-coding RNA, 416 nt
Organism: Leptonychotes weddellii (Weddell seal)
Lineage: Eukaryota; Metazoa; Chordata; Mammalia; Carnivora; Phocidae
Source: RefSeq, a predicted model, not a curated record
AAACUGAGGUCAGAGUAGUUCAGAGACUUAUCUACAGUCACAGAAUGAUUUUCUGCAAAAUAGAGAACGGUAUGGAUUGUGUAGAGUGACAGGCCUCUGAGGAUACACAGACUGCAAAUCCAUCUUUUGCCGUGUGGCCUGAGGCAUAACCACGGAACCACAGACUCUACAUCAUCUAUAAGAUGGGGGUUAUACUAAAUCAGGACCUGGUGCGAAGACUGAUCAGCCAGUGACUGACACAGAGGGGUCCCAAAGGAAGGAAAAUUGGACAGAAGCAAGAGCCAACUGAGAAAAUCCACGUUUUUAGGAGGCAUGUGGGGGUUUGGCUCUGAUAUGCACCUUGAGGACCUGGUAAAGCUCCUGGAGGGAGAACUCUCACAAGUGUGGGGAUCCCCAGUGCCUGGAUCCUGCUGGAA